This 537-nucleotide unclassified non-coding RNA is filed under the name Torulaspora delbrueckii. RNAcentral's name for it is "ribonuclease P RNA". Lineage: Eukaryota; Fungi; Ascomycota; Saccharomycetes; Saccharomycetales; Saccharomycetaceae. The record is from RNAcentral.
UAGGAAAGUCAUAAAUAUAUAAAUUAAAAUAUAUUAUUAUCCAUCAUAAUAAUAACUGAUAGUAUAUAUAUCUUUAUUAAUGAGUUCCCGAAGGGAACCACCCGCGCCCCGUGGGGCACGGGUAGUUCCCCCCCUUACGGGGGGGAACGACGGAGUAGUGGGUAAUAUUAUAUUUUAUAAUAAAGUAAUAAAUAUAAAUAAAUAAUAAUGGAAAUAAAAUACUUAUAAAAUUAACAUUUAUAAAAUAAGUAUAGUAUAUAUCUUAAUAAAUAUAAAUUAAACAAAUAUAAAAAAAAUCCUUUUUUUAUAUAUAAUAGGUAUUACAAUCACUCAUAUUAAUAUGUUGAGGUUGAACCUAUAAUAAUAGUUAUAUAUAUAUAUUUAUAUUAUUCUUAUAUAAGUAUAUAAAGAAUAAUAUAUUAAUUAUAUAUUAAUUUUAAUAUAUAAUUAAAUAAUAUUACGUAUCCCCUGAAUUAUAAUGUAUAUAAUUCUAAUAAUCUUGGGGAGAGUUAUUAUAAUAUACAAAAAUAUGCUUAA